AGAGUUUGAUCAUGGCUCAGAACGAACGCUGGCGGCAUGCCUAACACAUGCAAGUCGAACGAGACCUUCGGGUCUAGUGGCGCACGGGUGCGUAACGCGUGGGAAUCUGCCCUUCGGUUCGGAACAACAGUUAGAAAUGACUGCUAAUACCGGAUAAUGACGUAAGUCCAAAGAUUUAUCGCCGAAGGAUGAGCCCGCGUAAGAUUAGGUAGUUGGUGGGGUAAUGGCCUACCAAGCCGACGAUCUUUAGCUGGUCUGAGAGGAUGAUCAGCCACACUGGGACUGAGACACGGCCCAGACUCCUACGGGAGGCAGCAGUGGGGAAUAUUGGACAACGGGCGAAAGCCUGAUCCAGCAAUGCCGCGUGAGUGAUGAAGGCCUUAGGGUUGUAAAGCUCUUUUACCAGGGAUGAUAAUGACAGUACCUGGAGAAUAAGCUCCGGCUAACUCCGUG
Molecule: ribosomal RNA, 453 nt
Filed under: uncultured bacterium
Lineage: Bacteria
Description: bacterial SSU rRNA
Rfam family: Bacterial small subunit ribosomal RNA
Source: RNAcentral